AUUGAACGCUGGCGGCAUGCCUUACACAUGCAAGUCGAACGGUAACAGGGAGCUUGCUCGCUGACGAGUGGCGAACGGGUGAGUAAUGUAUCGGAACGUACCAUUCAGUGGGGGAUAACGUAGCGAAAGUUACGCUAAUUACCGCAUAUUCUGUGAGCAGGAAAGCAGGGGAUCGCAAGACCUUGCGCUGAUUGAGCGGCCGAUAUCAGAUUAGCUAGUUGGUGAGGUAAAGGCUCACCAAGGCGACGAUCUGUAGCGGGUCUGAGAGGAUGAUCCGCCACACUGGAACUGAGACACGGCCCAGACUCCUACGGGAGGCAGCAGUGGGGAAUUUUGGACAAUGGGGGCAACCCUGAUCCAGCCAUGCCGCGUGAGUGAAGAAGGCCUUCGGGUUGUAAAGCUCUUUCGGCCGGGAAAAAAAUCGCAUCAGUUAAUACCUGGUGUGGAUGAUGGUACCGGAAUAAGAAGCACCGGCUAACUACGUG
This 485-nucleotide ribosomal RNA is filed under the name uncultured bacterium. RNAcentral describes it as "bacterial SSU rRNA". It matches the Rfam family "Bacterial small subunit ribosomal RNA", at positions 30 to 507 of the family's 1533-position model. The record is from RNAcentral.